CCUACGGGUGGCAGCAGUGGGGGAUAUUGCACAAUGGGGGAUACCCUGAUGCAGCGACGCCGCGUGGGUGAAGAAGCGCCUCGGCGCGUAAAGCCCUGUCAGCAGGGAAGAAAACGACGGUACCUGAAGAAGAAGCCCCGGCUAACUACGUGCCAGCAGCCGCGGUAAUACGUAGGGGGCAGGCGUUAUCCGGAUUUACUGGGUGUAAAGGGGGCGCAGACGGCGAUGCAAGCCAGGAGUGAAAGCCCGGGGCCCAACCCCGGGACUGCUCUUGGAACUGCGUGGCUAGAGUGCAGGAGGGGCAGGCGGAAUUCCUGGUGUAGCGGUGAAAUGCGUAGAUAUCAGGAGGAACACCGGUGGCGAAGGCGGCCUGCUGGACUGCAACUGACGUUGAGGCCCGAAAGCGUGGGGAGCAAACAGGAUUUGAUACCCUAGUAGUC
Molecule: ribosomal RNA, 440 nt
Filed under: uncultured bacterium
Lineage: Bacteria
Description: partial 16S ribosomal RNA
Rfam family: Bacterial small subunit ribosomal RNA
Source: RNAcentral